AUCCAGCUGACAAGUCUCAAAUAGCACGAAGUGCGCAUCCUGGAU
Molecule: non-coding RNA, 45 nt
Organism: Schistosoma mansoni
Lineage: Eukaryota; Metazoa; Platyhelminthes; Trematoda; Strigeidida; Schistosomatidae
Source: Rfam